AUGCCAUCUCCGCCGCCUUCACUCUCAUCGCUAUGCCGCCGCCUGUGCUUCCUCCUGACCAUCCUCUUCAUGCUCUCCUCCGCGCGCAGGUGCGCUUCUUUCGCUGCCUCCAUCCGCUGCUUUUCCUGGUACUGUGCGUCAACGCCUCCCCCUUCUGUUCCCCGCAGCAGCCUGGAGGAGGAGGCCAGGGCCCUUAGCGUCGGCGAUGAGCUGGUGGGCGAGACCAUCCCGCUUCGCUACGGCCGGAGGCUCUACAGGCUCGCCGGGCUACGGCCGCCCGCGUGGUACGAAAUCAAGAUCUCCUACCCGACCUCCAUACCGUCCAGCUUCUCCAUUCGCCUCGUGAACGAUCCUAAUGCCGUUGAGGAUUUGGGGAGUAAGAACAGGAGGUUGCUCAACACGGAGAAGAUACUUUUCAAGGCUGAGAGCACCAGGCCGGUUUAUGUUCUUGUCAUGGUGGAGCCUGAGGGUGUGGUUGCAAAGCCAAAUGUGCCAGAGCGAGAGCUUGCCCUGUUCAACAUUGUUUGCGACGAACUUUUGCUGGGGAUCCCACUUUUUGCCUGGUGGGUGGGAACUGCAGCAUUAAUUUGCAUUGUGCUGGCAUCAAUAGCACCAUAUUUCCUUCCGCUGCACAAGCUACUUAACUAUGAAGCUGCAGAAUUGAGCAGCGUUGAUGCAGCUAAGCUUUCCUGA
RNAcentral lists this ribosomal RNA (693 nucleotides) under Triticum aestivum (bread wheat). RNAcentral describes it as "partial small subunit ribosomal RNA". Lineage: Eukaryota; Viridiplantae; Streptophyta; Magnoliopsida; Poales; Poaceae. The record is from RNAcentral.